GUCUGAAUUGCAGAACCAAGAAGUUAUUUAGUUCUGUUGACGCUUAAAAAAAGCCUGUUAAUUCAUCUCAUCAAUUAUCACUAAUAGCAAAGCAAUAGGAGGAUAGUAACAGCAUCUGCAUUAGGAUUCAUGGUCACCUGGGAACUCCCAGACAAGCUCUGGACUACAGCUGCCAUGCCAGCUCUUCAUAGCUGCAGAAUCCCAAAGAAUGCAAGGAUGAAAGGUGCAAAGGACAGUGAGAGAUGAAUGUGCGUAUGAACAAAUCUUGAAAUCCAAUAGCACUGUGUCUGCAGCCAAGAGCUUCAAAGACAGGAGCAUCUCAGCCUUCCUUUGGUUUCUAGCUGAAGAUUGGGAUGUAACUCCAGCACAGCACUUCUAGCAGCUACCACUAGCUUUUCCUCUGGCAUUUCCCAAAUAGUAUGUAUUCUGUAUGUACAAAAUAUUAUGUUUUACUCGUUAGACAGCCCAACUGGAGGAAAUCUCAGGGCUGUAAUUGCUCACCAACUAUUACUGACAAAGAAAAAUGUGACCCUUACUCUGGGAUCUAUUAAGAAAUCUGUUAUGGAUGGGGCAUCGGGGGUAAUUAUGCUGCUCUAUUUGGUUCUGCCAAGGCAUCAGAUGCAAGUACUGUGCACAGUAUUGGGCACUGCACUUAAGAAACACGUACGUAAGUAAGGUGCAGAAGAGAGCAAAGAAAAUGAGAAGAGAAAGAAAAGACCUCUGAAAAAGGCUGGAGGGGCUGGAUUUUGCACAUUUUGAAAGAGAAGACUGUGGGGACAGGACAGGAAAAGGCACAGCAAUAUUCCAAAGUACCGUGGGUUGACACACCGCGAACAGUGACCCUCUGUAUCCUUGUGGGACAUUACAACUGGCAUUGGUUUAAGUGGUAGCAAUAAAGAUGAAAUUUAUCAGGCACUUGAGCAGGCUGCAGAGAGAACCUCUGUCCAUGGUGGUUUUUAAGAACAGCUUAGACAAAUAUGAUGUGGGGUGACAAACUAUAGCUAUCUUGUCUCAUGAUAAGUGUCAAACCCACGGUAUCCCUGUCACAUAACAGCAAGUGACAAAGACACAAACGCUCUGAAUUCCCAGAGAAAGGUGGUGGAAUGGAAUCUGGAGAGAAAAGUAAUCUUUUAAAUUUGGCUUUCAGUGGUUUUUUAGAAAACAUAUUUUAGUUAUGUUGGGAAGAGCUAAAACUGAUCCUGUCCUCACAGUACCUCCAGACUGAUGGCUUUGUGUAUGGAACAGGCUGGGUGUCAUCAUUUUGAACAAAGGCAAGCAAGAAAGGUAGACAAAAGGAAGAUCGAAGAUAGACAAGAUGGCCAGUCUUUUCUUGCAGCUGAUUAAAAAGUUAAAUGAUGUACUGUGCAUAAUCUCCAGCUAAUGUAAAAAAUAAUAGUUCAAGUUUACAUGACAUAGUAAGUUAUGGGGCUCCAGAAAUGUAAAUGGCCUGGAAAUAUUAAAAUGUAAAACCCCUGUAACA
Molecule: long non-coding RNA, 1480 nt
Organism: Cygnus olor (mute swan)
Lineage: Eukaryota; Metazoa; Chordata; Aves; Anseriformes; Anatidae
Exons: 4
Source: RefSeq, a predicted model, not a curated record